AUUGAUUAUUGCAAAACUAUGUGUACAUGUAAAUUAUGUUGUUAAAGUAAUUUGUCAACAGAGGUGUCAUUUCAUUAAAUGCAAUCGUCAAUAUGUUGAUCGAAAAUGGAUAGAUGGAUAUUUUGAUGUACCUUAUCAUGUGAUAUAUUAGGUCAGUGUAUCCCGGACACGAGGACAAUCUGCGUUAACGCGCGUUUACUACAAACAGUAAACGGGCGUUUACUUU
Molecule: long non-coding RNA, 226 nt
Filed under: Mytilus galloprovincialis (Mediterranean mussel)
Lineage: Eukaryota; Metazoa; Mollusca; Bivalvia; Mytilida; Mytilidae
Source: RNAcentral